AACGAACGCUGGCGGCAUGCCUAACACAUGCAAGCCGAACGAGACCUUCGGGUCUAGUGGCGCACGGGUGCGUAACGCGUGGGAACCUGCCCUUAGGUUCGGAAUAACUCCCCGAAAGGGGUGCUAAUACCGGAUAAUGUCUUCGGACCAAAGAUUUAUCGCCUUUGGAUGGGCCCGCGUUGGAUUAGCUAGUUGGUAGGGUAAAAGCCUACCAAGGCGACGAUCCAUAGCUGGUCUGAGAGGAUGAUCAGCCACACUGGGACUGAGACACGGCCCAGACUCCUACGGGAGGCAGCAGUGGGGAAUAUUGGACAAUGGGCGAAAGCCUGAUCCAGCAAUGCCGCGUGAGUGAUGAAGGCCUUAGGGUUGUAAAGCUCUUUUACCCGGGAUGAUAAUGACAGUACCGGGAGAAUAAGCUCCGGCUAACUCCGUG
This 433-nucleotide ribosomal RNA is filed under the name uncultured bacterium. RNAcentral describes it as "partial 16S ribosomal RNA". It matches the Rfam family "Bacterial small subunit ribosomal RNA", at positions 29 to 507 of the family's 1533-position model. The record is from RNAcentral.